This 512-nucleotide ribosomal RNA is filed under the name uncultured bacterium. RNAcentral's name for it is "bacterial SSU rRNA". It matches the Rfam family "Bacterial small subunit ribosomal RNA", at positions 17 to 518 of the family's 1533-position model. The record is from RNAcentral.
UUCUGGCUCAGGAUGAACGCUAGCUACAGGCUUAACACAUGCAAGUCAGGGGCAGCAUGUGGUUGCUUGCAACCAAUGAUGGCGACCGGCGCACGGGUGAGUAACGCGUAUCCAACCUUCCCCUUAGUAGAGGAUAGCCCGGCGAAAGUCGGAUUAAUACUCUAUGUUCUUCAAUGCGGACAUCUAAGUUGAAGCAAAGAUUUAUCGCUAAGGGAUGGGGAUGCGUCUGAUUAGGUUGCAGGCGGGGUAACGGCCCACCUGGCCUACGAUCAGUAGGGGUUCUGAGAGGAAGGUCCCCCACACUGGUACUGAGACACGGACCAGACUCCUACGGGAGGCAGCAGUGAGGAAUAUUGGUCAAUGGGCGCGAGCCUGAACCAGCCAAGUAGCGUGCAGGAACCGACUGCCCUAUGGGUUGUAAACUGCUUUUAUCAGGGAAUAAAGUGAGGCACGCGUGCCUUUUUGUAUGUACCUGAUGAAUAAGGACCGGCUAAUUCCGUGCCAGCCGCAGC